Molecule: ribosomal RNA, 253 nt
Filed under: uncultured bacterium
Lineage: Bacteria
Description: partial 16S ribosomal RNA
Rfam family: Bacterial small subunit ribosomal RNA
Source: RNAcentral
UACGGAGGGUGCAAGCGUUAUCCGGAAUUACUGGGUUUAAAGGGUGCGUAGGCGGCUUAGUAAGUCAGGGGUGAAAGGUCACGGCUCAACCGUGGAAUGGCCUUUGAUACUGCUGAGCUUGAAUCAGGAUGAGGUUGGCAGAAUGUGGCAUGUAGCGGUGAAAUGCAUAGAUAUGCCAUAGAACACCGAUUGCGAAGGCAGCUGGCUAGUCCUUGAUUGACGCUGAGGCACGAAAGCGUGGGGAUCUAACAGG